Long non-coding RNA from Columba livia (rock pigeon), 25360 nucleotides. RefSeq lists it as uncharacterized. The record is from RefSeq and is a predicted model, not a curated record. The transcript is spliced from 5 exons. Lineage: Eukaryota; Metazoa; Chordata; Aves; Columbiformes; Columbidae.
AACAGAUUUAGAUUACUCCUUUGCUUUUCUUUCAGAAAGCAACAGAGUUCUGAAAUCCUAAUUUUCAUUCAGCUAGAUAUAUUAGAAAAAACAGUGAACAGGGGAGUUUGGAGAAUGUCCAGCCUUAAAAUUAAUGAGUGAGUGUGAUCCACAGAGAAAUAUCUUUAACCACAACUUGGCUAGACCUUAAAGUCUGCGUUUUUAUUGGUUUUGGCAUCUGGAAACUUUUUCUAAUGGAUUCACUUCCCUUGAGAUAGGUAGUGAAAGGAAGGUGUGUAGUCCUAAACUUGAACCUUUUGUGGGUUCUUUGCUUUCUUUUCUGAGGUCUAAAUAGCAUUAAUUACAUUGUAACCAGAAAAGCCAAUUGUCUCACAGUCUGACAGCAUCUGGGUUUGUUCCCAAAAUGUGAGUCCUCGUGCUAAGAAGAAAUUAAAUUCAGCUGGGACUUGUUCCAACACUGACAACAGCCUUGGGAUCAAUGCUGUAAUGGCUUUUGGCUCUCACUUCCCUUGAGUGUGGCUUGUGUAAGCUCAGAGAACCUGUUGAGCAAAAGACAACUAGUACCUUAAGCAGCCAUUGAAAUGAAUCAGAUGCAAAUGAAGGAGUCAGAGCAGGAUCCGAUAACUAAACUGAUAACUAAUCUUCACCUUCUCUGCAUGAUGGAUGGCAAUGCUGAGAAGAUAAUUACUACAGGUAACCACUAUGCUUUUUUUUCCCUCUCACAUUAUAUUGCAACAUGACUACAAAAAUCGGGGGGACUUCUGUGACCAGUAUCUUACCCAUGAGAAAUGGACUGCAAAAAAUGAAAUAACACAUAGAAAGCUAAAUGGACCUCUGCGCAUUAUUAUCCACCAAACCUAGCACUGGGUGGAUGAAGUGUUUUCUUUCUCUACAGCUAACAGAGCCAUGCAAAGCACAAGGCUGGGCGUUAAUGGGACAUCUGCCAUUAAGAGGCUGCUGCAGAUGGCAGAAGAAUGCAUUUUCUGAGUCCAGGCUGGCUUCAUAUCUCAUGUCCUAGCUAGAGCAGGAGAUCAUUUGCUGCAGUGAAAUAGAUGGGAUGGCUGAGGAUGUGAAGCUGUCACAGUAGAGGCAGAUAUGGACUGAGAUCAGAACAGGAGGCUUGCAGAUAGGAAUCAGAUUUGAGCAUCAAUGGAAGAUGUCUGGGCUGUCACACAAGGCGUAUCACAGUACAACGCUUUGACACAGCAUGGCACAUGUUGACUGCAGGUUUUCACCAAAGUGUAUGUAUUUCACAACAGGCAGGACUGCUGUUUUCUUCCCACAAGAGGGCCCUACAGCCUCACUCUCUGGACUAAGGAAUCUGUGAUAUUUAAGGGAGGACUUCUGAAUAACUGUAGUCCCACUCUGCCUGUAAGAGGCCACCAUGGGGUACAUAUAUUGUCACAUACUUGGCAAGAAAACAGUCCUGCCUGCUAUGAAUGUGUAAGUCAUCCCUGUGACUCCUGAGCCAGAGGGGUGGGAUUUGAGCCAUAGCAGAAGAAUAAGCCUCUGUUAAAGAGAAAAAAAUACUUUUCAGAGACCACCAGUUAGAGUUGAAGGGUGUGAUUACAUUUGAUUACAUUACGUUUUCUAAGUGUUGCAAUCUGGGAGGGACCUGUCUCAGCUUGUCGUGUAGAGUCACAAACAAAAGUAACCACAAGCUGGAGAAAAAACAUGUAGUAUAAGCAGGAUUGAUUUCAACAAGGCAUUUUGCAGUAAUGCUAUCCACUGGCAGGAUAAGCAGCAGAAAUGUUAGAGAUGUGAGACAGAUGAUUGCAGCCAGGCUCACAGGCACGUUUCCUUGGCUGGCAGUGCUGACAUGUGGUCACUAAAUGAAAAACAACUGGAAGAGGCACAGUGUAACCCUGGUUGGUCCCUCCCUCACCAUCUCUGGGCUCCCUGAUGGAAUAUUUCACUGAGGAGACUGUGAGGACUCCUGCCCAAGUUUGCAGAGAGGGUCACCCAAAGUCCGCUCAGAAAACUCAAUCCCAGCUUCUUGCAAUAUACAGACACAAAACUUGACUCCUGCUGCACAUCCUUGAGAUGUCAAAUAGGACCAAUGUCUUAAACAGGACAAUGCUGGUAAAAGGUUUCUACUUCCCCAAGUGUUGUUUCAAACCAAGAGCUGGGUGAUGCCUCCCAACUGUGAGCUAUGAAUGAAAACCAGCACAAGACACAUGUUGUCUGUGCCAUUUCUUCUCAUUCGUGUGGGCUGAUCUUGCUUUCUCUAAAAGGAAAUAGGAUCAAACUUUAAAAAUAAAGUUCCAGACCAUGCAAAUUAACUUAUUUUUUCCUCCUUAAGUGCACUAUUUAUACUACUUUUAAUACCAACCAAGAGAUUCUCUUACGAUUACAUUUUCAGUACUGGAGGAAAACCUAAUGUCAAGCAUUUCAUACAUUAUAUGUCAAAUUCUUCAACUACAUUUUCUUUUUUCUGCCUUAACUUCAAUAAACUAUUAAAAAUAUAUUUAAGGAUGGUUACCACAAUUGGAGUCACAUACAGUCACCUGACCAUGGGGGACUACGGUGGGUCUGUGGAUUCCCUGACAGAGGGCAUGGGAACAAAAAUUAGCCUUGAAGAUAUUAAGGCCUACCCAUGAGAAAGAUGGGAGUAAAGGAGUAUCCGGAGAUGUUAAGGAUGUACCCUUGAGAGAGAAGGGAGUAAAAAAGCAACAUUGAUGAUAGCAAAAAUAGCCAAUGAGAUGUUACUGCUGUAGCUUGUAACCAAUAGUGAAGAGACACAUGAAUUGGUAAAACGGUAUAAAAAUGCACUUGUGGCAAUAAAUAGAUCUACUACUUUCAUCCUGGAAGAACUUGGUCUAUGUCGUUUGUCCAUCUCAACCACGAUACCUGACAUAAAACACCAAUCAGAGGUGCACCACUAACUCCCUGUACCCUCUUGAACCUCAGUAACACCCUUUCAGCAAAACAAUGGGAUGGCACAACCUCAACCACAGCAUAAAAUUCCUCUUGUUGUCCUAACAUUUACGAGAAGGAUAUAAAAGUAGACUUGUAGCAGCUCUUAGGACUACAGAUCAGAACAGAUCCUUACAGUGUUUGUAGAACAGAUGAACAACAGACUCUUGAAGAGUAAAACAAGCAAGUGAACAGCACAUCCAGCUACUCUCAAUACACAUCAGUUUCAGGAAAAAUAAAUCUUUGUACAAAGCUGCACAACCAGUAUGGUCACCUAGAGUUUUUUUCACCAUGUAUAUCAUAUAUUGACUAAUUCCAAACAUUUUUUAGUUGGGUUCACUUCCAGAUACAAGGACGAACACCUAGUUAACUCAAAAGAACUUAGGGCUCCUUUAGGCGUGGUUGAAAAUGGUCACAAUUAAUAGCUUGUUCAAAGAUUACAGAACUAAUACUGUUGCCAGAUUACUGGUGCAGUGCAUUUGCCCACCCUUUUCUGCUGCACAACAAGUAUUUAUUCUGAUUCUAAAGAACACACAUUUUUCUUUGUUUAUCAAUGAUUGCAAUGUUACUGUGGAGAGUCGAUCUAGAAAGAAGAGGGCUAACAAUAGCUCACAGUGAUGUCCUUUUAAUACACCAUUUGCUUCAGACACAUAUUCGUAUUUCUGUAUAGAUCCUUUCACAUCGGCUAUACUCACAAGUGCUUGUUAAAGGCAAACAAAAAAAAAUUAUAAAAAGUUGCAGUUCCCUCUUUGCAUUGUGGUCCAUAUUUAGCAAGUCAUGUCUCAACUGCCUCUAGCCAUUUGUCCUGGUUUCAGCUGGAACAGACUUAAUUUUCUUCCUAGUAGCUGGUAUAAUGCCGUGGUUUGGAUUUAGAAUGAGAAUAAUGUUGAUAAUACACUGAUGUUCUGGUUGUUGCUAAUUAGUAGUCAAAGACUUUUCAUCUUCUCACACUGUGCCAGGUGCACAAGAAGCUGAGAGGGAGCACAGCCAGGACAGCUGACCCAAACUGGACAAAGGCAUAUUCAACACCUUGUGACAUCAUACUCAGUAUAUAUUCUGGGGGAAGCAGGCUGAGCAUCAAAAACCAAGUGGUCAUGGUCUUCAUGGAGGAUCUGAACCAACCCAAUAUCUGCUGGAAGGGGAACACAAGCAGUCCGGUAGGUUUCCGGAGUGCACUGAUGAUAAUGAGGCACUCCCUGGAUCUGACAAACAAGUAAGAACCAGUAGGGAAGGUGGAGGUCAAGGACCAGGCUUGCUGCAGUGACCAAGAGACAGGAGACUACAGGGUCUGAAGAGAACAAGUCAAAUAGCAGGAUCGUUACCUGGACUUUAAGAGAGCGGACUUUGUCCUGUUCUUUGACUUGCUAGGACGAAUCUCCAGGGUAUCCUGGGGAGCAGAGGGGCUCAGGAGAGCUCGCUGAUUUUCAAGCAUCACCUCCUCCAAGCUCAAGAUCGGUCCACACAAAUGUGCAAGAAGUCAAGCAAAGUGGGAUAGGAGGCCUGUAUGGACAAAUAAAUAGCUCGUGACAAAACUCAAACAAAAAAAAGUAGGUCUAUAAGAAGUGGAAGCAGAACUAAGUAACUCAGGAGUAUUGAGACACUAUCCAUGUGCAGUGAUAAGAUUAGGAAAGCCAAAGCCUGCCUGAACUUAAAUCUUAUGAAGGAUGUGAAGUGCAGCAAGAAAGGUACAUAGGUAGCAAAAGGAAGACUGUGGAAAAAUGAUCCCACUGCUGAAUGAAGCAAGGGAUGCAGUGGCAAAGGGCAUGGAAAAGGCCAAGGAACUCAAUGCCUUCUUGGCCUUAGUCUUCCCUGGCAAGCCCAGCCUUCAGGAACUGCAGGCUCCUGAGACCAGUGUGAAAGUCUGCAGCAAGGAAGACUUAACCUUGGUGGAUAAGGAUUAAAUUAGGGAACAUUUGAACAUCUCCAUUUUGGACAUAUUUAAAACUCAACUGGACGUGGUCAUAAGCAACCUAUUCUGGUUGCCCCUACUUUGAGCAAGUUAUUGAACUAGAUCGUCAGUGGUGCCUUCCAACCUUAAGGAUUCUGUGAGAGUUCAUUUUUCUUAGCCUUCUCCACCUUUAUAUCUUACUUUUCCAAUCCAGCUAUCAUUUUUUUAUUUUUCUAAUGUAGUACCUCUUGCACUGGCCAAGAAAGAGAUAUAUCCUUAGGUUAUACAGUGGCAUGAUGAUAUACCUUUUUUUGCUCCCUGUUCAUCUCUGCUCUAAUCAUCUCCAAACUUAAUUUGCUUUUUUGAUCAGCAUUGAACUUAGGGCAACAUUUUUGCAUACCUUGAUUCCAAGACAGGUAAGAUAGCACUAAUCACUGUGUACUUUAGCUGCAGUUGUUUCUUUUUUCUCCACCUAUGUGCAUCAUUUUGCAUUUACUGACAUUAAAUUUCAUCUGCAAUUUUACUGCCAAAACACUAUGUAUCGUGAAAUCAGAUGGAUUUCAUAACUUCAAAGAUUUCUGACUUUCUUAAAGCACUUCCUAUUUUUCUUGAGCUUUUCUACCUUGCACCUUCACUUGUCCUUUUAUUGUUGAUCGUGUCAGAUUUGUGAAUGACAGCAUUCUCAGCACAUUUCCUUGGGAGUGACCACUGGUAAUUCUCCACAUCAUAAGAGUUCUCAGUAAUUCCCACACUACAAUUUAACCAGAUGUUAAUAAUCCAUGAAAGGAUGUUUCAUCUCACCCCAAGAUGAUUUAGUUUUUCUUACAGUCUUUAGUAAAAGACUAGGUCAAAGGCUUUUUGGAAAAACAGUUCAACAAUACCAAUCUCAUACAUGAGGAAUUCUUCAAAGAAAUGCAAUGCAAUUUUCCUUUAUAAAAGUUCAAUUGGGCUCUUCUUCAGAAUAUAACUUUUAUGUAAGUCUAGUAAUUCGAGUUGUUCGUGUUAUACCUCAAGCAAUUUGUAAGUGGAGAUCAGAUUUAGUGCUCUGUAACCUCAGCAGUUUACCUUAGACUUUUUAAAAGAACCUUGGUGUCACCUUCAUUUCUCUGGUAUCUCAAAGGUAAUUUCAAAACACCAUAAAAUUUACAUACUAUUCUAUAUUAAGUUAUAUUUAAAAGACUCUUAGAAACAGGCCAGUGAUUAGCAGCUGAAAUGUUGAUUUUUCACAAGGGCUGAAUUACUUUGUGGAUUAAGUAUAGUUUUUAAACUAUGACUCUUGUAGGGCUUUUUUUGAAACACAGCAAUAUCUCAUUGCAAUAUUUUAUCAGAGUAUUUCAAAGCAAAAUUACACUUUGUGAAAUCACUAUAUCUUUUGGAUAUAUAUAAAAUCAAUUUUUAUCAUUGCUGUCUCGUUCACAGGUGAAGCAAUGACUCAUUCAAGAGCACAAGAGUCAGUGCCAGAGCCAGGAAUAAAUACAGACAUCCUACCAUUCAGCACCUUGCACUAGACAUUAGGUUGCAUUUUCUUUCCCAAUUUAUUACACUGCAAGACUGAAGAAAACUGGAAAGCAUUUAAGUGUGUCCCUGUCUUACAAGACAUUUUCCUAUGAACCCUUCUGGAUUUUCAUUUUGACUGUGGCUCAUUAAAACUGUGCAGAAAAAAAAAAAUAAUAAUCUUAAUUCCACGUACACAAGAUAGUCUUAAUGAAAUUAGUCCCCAAUCACUUUCCUAGUACCUAACCGACAUUUUUUAAAUUAGGCUGGCCAAAGUUUACCUACAGUGUUAUUCUGGCAUAUGGUUUAUACUGCCAGCAAAGAUGCAUUCUGGCUGAGAGAGAGUAUGAGCUGUUUUUUCUCCCAAACAAAGCAAGGGUGGAUACAUACCUAACCUGUAAAUUCUGCAACAAAAUACGAGACUCUCUGAGAACUAGUGAAUGUUGAUAUGGACUAGCAGCUCUGACUCUAAUCUCAGUGCAACAAGGGUUUUGAUUAACCUGUCUCAUAAGACUUACUCAGACAUGUAAUCCUACGUGUGUUAGAUGUAGAAAACUUAUAACAAGAAUUCUGUAUUUGCUGGACAAGAAUAUUUUGUAAUCUGUACAAUCAUUGGUAACGAUGCAGAGCAUGUGCAACAAGAAGUAGCUCAGACCGUGUAUUUUUAUUGGAGUCUUCUUCAUUUGACAUCCAUGAAUCAUUUAUAAAAUCUCCUUUCAUCUGCAAUUUACCUUGGAAUUUCCAGAUUCCCUCUCUUUUGUGACAGAAAGCUCCAGAUGAUCUGCCAAGUACUCCGUUCUUUUAAUCAACCAGUGGGUAUUUACAACACGUAGUCAAAGUGGAUGUAUCAUGGUAAAUUAUACCAGCAUUUCCAAUUUAACAUACUGGCCCUUUUCCAAAUGGUGUAGCAGAACAAUAAAUUUCCUAUCUGAUUUCCAUUUUGCCCAGUGCUUACAUUAUUAACCGUAGAAAUAUUUUUGCCAGGAAUAACUGACUGCAAGUAGCACUUGCACAAGAUUUCACAUGCAAUAACUUGAUCCACAUAGUAUUCUAUACGGUUUUGAAUAUUUUGAUACUGUUCAGAGCACCAGAGAAGCUAUUGCUUUUCUAAUUGUUACUACUGAAAAUCCUGCACACCAAGAGAAGUGAGGUAAAGGUGGACACAAGUACAAAAAAGGAAAUUAUUAUUAAAAUAGCACUGCCUGUGUACAUGCUGUACCCUGCUCCUAGACGCUUACAUUUGAAGGUCAAGAGCUGCUAUGUCAAAACCUUUUGGCUUUUUCAAUACUAGCAAACACUGCUCUGGUAUCCCUGUAAUAUAUACAUGCAAAGGCUGCCAACUUUUGCAAUUCUAUCUCCAGUCUCAUCCUAUUCUGUAAUUUCCUGCCUGAAGGCCCCAUUGGUGGAACAGAGAUCUUCCCCAAAGCUCCAGCUUUCACUUGUAAGGUAAGUUUCUGUCCCCCAUGGCUAGACAAAAAAAGCUUUAAGAGGAAAAACAUGUGCCACCAAAGGAUGAGGACAGAUUGGCAACUAAACAGAAUUCAUAAUAUGCUGUUAUAAAAUAAUUGCUUGAUUCUGCCAGGCUUGGUUUGUGCAUAUAUGCUGGUAGAGCCUGCUUGGCACCUGUCAAUCAUAUAGUGCACCUCAAAACAUCAACUGUCCAAAGGUGUCUGUGCAGUCCUCUUCAGAAAUGAACAUGUGUCCCUAUAUUUAAAGGGAGAUAAACAAAUUAUCUUAAUUAGCAUGCAAUGUUGGUUAAAAUUUGAAGAGCAUUUAAGUUACUGGGCAUGGAUAAGGAUUUUCCUCUAGAUACUCCAUGUCUCCCACUUUAGGAUUUUUUGGUUCAUGGCUGUCAUGCAGCUGGAAACCAAAUUUUCUGAUUGCCCCUAUUUACUACAUGUUUGCAGAGUAGUUUUGGUGCACAUGGACUAGACCCCUUUCAGAAGAAAUUAAACCAUGUGCACACCAGAGCACUCCAGCCCUUUGUGGAGGUGGGAGGUGUGACUGGUUCUGCAGACAGAAUCAAUUCCUGCACACAGAGGGACAAUCAGCCCAGACAAUAAGACCAAGUCUAGUCCCAAGGUAAAGCCCAGAAUCACACAAAGUGCAGACAGAAAGUCUCAGCACCCACUGCUUUAUCUACUGAUUCUCUCUUACUGCUCUGAAAUAAGAAUUACUGACAUAGAAGUGCAACGCAUUUGCCAUUCUCCAUUUAACUAAAAGAAGGCAAAGAAGGUAACCAGUAAACCCACAAAACCAUGCUGAUGCCAACCAAGCUUGCUCCAUUGCCCGUCUCCUCCAGCUCUGGGGUCAGCAGCCCUGCAGGAGUUGCACUGAUGGCACUUCCCUGAAAAUCACCUGAGACAUACAAAUUCAUCCUUCCUCUUGGGCAUCUCCAAAGACUUUAGACAUCUCUCUUUAGACUGCUAAACCCAGUCCUGCCUGACUACUGCGACAACAUUACAGCCCUCUGGAAAGAAAUACGACUGAGUUCUUCCUUCCUCACUUGGGACUAUUAACAGAGAAUGGUUAAUAUUUUGCUACAAAGCUCUUGCAACAUGAGUAGUCAUCUGUCCCUCUGUGCUGUAUGUCCCUGACCGUCCCCUUCUGCCCCCCUGCUGCUUUUUCCCCUCUCUGUACAGAUGUACCAGGUGCAAGGUGCGGGAUAUUAGGGAACCAGGCAGGAGAGCAUCUGAGCCAUUAACUCAGAUUUUCUCUUCUAACAUCAGAAGAUUCAGCCAAAUAAUUACAGCACACAGCUGGUGCCUGCUAAUACACUUUAAAUUUGAUAAUCUGUCCAGAAGCGAAGAACAUUUUUAUUCAGUGCAGAUUGGAAAGACAAGGCAAGAGAAUUGAAUGAGACAAGGUGUUUUCAACAUGAUCUUUUUCAUUACUGUGCUUCAGCUCUAUUGACUUUAAGACUAGAGCAACAACUAGGAAAACAAAAGUCUUCUUUUUCAUCUUCGGAAGUUACAUAAUUUAACAAUACUGUCUCUUUUUUUUCCUCCAGACUUGCAGAGUCUUAGCAACUCCUCUCUGUCAAAACAAUGUCUGCUCUCAACACCAAAUUUUCUUAAUUGCCCCACCUGAAGCAGAAAUGUGCCAAUUAUGUUCUUGUCCUGAUUAUCAGACAACUCACUGGAAUACGUUGUACUAAGUGAAAUUCACUUCUGAAGACAGGCCUGUGUGAUGAACAUUUUAAAGAGAGAGAGAUAGAGAAAGAAAGGUGUGAAAUCAAGUCAUAAUAGCAGCUGUCAAAGAGAAGACAAAGCAGCUCUGUUGUGGCAUAGACAUUGGUGCUCAGGGAGGUCCAUAUGGGCCUUCGUGUUCUCCUGGAGCCCCACUUGAUCCAUACCCUUUCCUCACAGAGCCACUGAAGGCUUCAGCCCAUAGAGAGGACACUUGAACCAGAGAUCCCAAAAGCACUUGUGCAAAUAUUUUUCUGGUAUCCUGCCAUGGCUGAGAAAUACAAGUGAGUGUCACGCUGUGGCAGGAUGUAAACCCCCCUCUCUCCCCCUCCCUCCUUCAUCACUGAAGGAGUAGGCACAUCUCCCUCUCUCUCUGCUGCUUGAGGCUAACAGCUUCUUUUGUAUGGCCCCAGAGCACCCUGGCCAGGGCCAUUAGGAGAAGGGAGUGUCUAGGCACCGCUGAGCCGCUGGGCACCUGCGGCCAGUGUGGGGGAUGUUUGGAGGCUUCAGGGGCACCCACAGCCAGUGUGGGGGUGCAGAGAAGCUUCUGGAAUGCCUACAGUCAGAUCUGAUCAGCCUAUAAAAAACGGGACUCUCGUCGAGACUCCGCCCAUUGUCGCGGGUCUCUCGGAGCACGAGCAAGAUGCUGCCACUGAGAGCCCCCCUCCCCGGGAUGGGGACUCCACUUGCCUCGCCGCCACGGCUGUGAGUAAAACUUCUCGCAGGAUUGCGAGUAUAUUUAUACUUUCCGUGCACAUUUGCACGUGUAACUUUCCGUGCUCAAUACAAGCACAUGUAUAAAUUAUUUCCUCACACAAUCGUGAGUGUAUUUUACUUCCUGUGCUUCCACAUAAGCACGUGUAAUAUUCCAUGCACAUUUGCACAUGUAUUAUAAAUUUACCCUCACAGGAUUGCGAGUGUAUUAUAAAUUUACCCUCGCAGAAUUGCGAGUGUACACUUUCCGUACUCACUACGAGUACGUGUAUCUCUUUAAAAUAAUCCCACACCGAGUACAGGCAAGUGUGUACUCCUCCAGGACUCAGGGACGGCUCCGGCAUUGUUUUGGGUGAAGCCAUAUGCAUGCACACUGUGGACCGCCUAUUGUAUUAGUUGCUGCCCCUUAAUAAUUUUCCUCAGCUGAUAUCCGAACGUGUAUUUAAGUCACUUUUGGAGUGCUAAAACCCUGUUUCUCACCGGUUUAAUAAUAAUUGUUUUGGACCAUGUUGUUCCUCAAACUAACCUCGGAGUGCCUCCGUGACACACGUUGCCCACUGUAUCAAGAAAGAGAACCAAGAAAGAGAAAAUGCAACAUUUCCCAUGAAAACAAAGAUUCACUCCCUCUUUCUGUGCAACGUACCCAGGGAUGGAGGUGUCCCAUUCUGAGAACCACUGGUGGGGCUGAAAGGAGUCUGUGAUUCUGUGAUGACAAGCCAGCAAGUUGGGGACAGCCCAGUGUAGAGUGACUCUCACAGCAGAAACAUUAAAUGACAACAGACCAAUGCUUCUUCACUAUCCUAAUGCUCAUCCUCCCCAGAUGGACCUGCCGUGUCUCCAGCUGUUCCUGCUCAAAAUGCUACAGGAUGAGAAGGUGAGGGUGAAGCUUGUAUCCCCAGAAGUGUUGGUAGGAGAUGUCAGUAUGAGGUAAUGGAGGGUCCAGCAGACUUGCACAUCUUACAGUCAACCUCAGUGAGGAUCUGAUGACACUGAGCACCAUUUGUGAAGUUGUUGAUAGCUUGGGAAGAUGUUCAUUCACUGGGAAUAGCGAAGGAGCAUUGUAAAGUAGUAGCCUUUGCGUUCAGGCUUAAGAAACAUUUUAAAAAUAGACCAGAAGGAUAUCAAAGAAAGGGGGGGGAAAAAAAAAAACACACACAAAACAAACAAACAAACAAACAAACAAAAACCAACACAAACAAAAAAAAAAAAAACAAAAAAAAAAAACCCACUAAAAUAUGUGUAACAAAAUUGAAUCUUCACAUGAGUAAAAGAUUUGCAAAGCUGCAGUUAUUUAAAAAUAGGCAAUUUUUUAGCUGCAUGAAAAUACUUAAAGCUACUAAAGAAAAAUAAGGACAUUUUACUUAAUUAUAUUUUAUAUUUAAAGGUUGUUUAUUAAAUAGUCCAUUUGGUUAUUUUAAGUAGCCAUGCAUAAAAUGCCUCUACAGAAAACCUGUAGAGAGGCAAAAUGACAUCUCAAAGCUGCCCAGUUUCUGCCAUAAUUAUUCAAGGCUCCAAGCUGUUCCUGGUUCAAGAGAGCUGCUGACCCAGCGCUCCCCAGCCUUGGAGGGCGGGUCCCUCCUUAGAUUAAAUAGCUUUUUUCCAAAUACUUUUCAUAAUGCUUCUUUGUAGCACUUACAGUUUAACCCGCCGUUUGCCAGAGACAGCCCACUUAAGGGAACAGUUUGUGGCACGGACAAGCUGAGAAGUGAAGCAGUUUGAGAUCCUGUUGCUCUGAUCAGGGACAUAAAGUUCAGUGUAGCAGAAACACUCCCUGCCAUUCCUGUGUGCACUUAUGUAUUUCAGUCCAAGGAACCUGAAUUUGUCCCAUGCCAUAUAUUCCCCUACACCAUACACCCCCCCACACACACACACAUACAGUCCUUAGCCCUCUUGCAUUCCAGAACUUCCAUUAGUGGCCUACAGGGGCCAUUUAGGAGCCUACAGAGCUUGUGCUCAGGAAAAAAAAAAUACAAUAGCAAACACACACACACCAAAAAGAAAAGAGACAGGCCGACGAUUGCUUGGAAAAAUAUUUUCCACAGAGGAGCGGAGGGACAAUUUGGAACCUGAGGUAAUGAAGCAAGGUAGUAAAAAAAAUGUGAAGCAAAAUUGGAGAAGUCAUGUUCACAAGCAAGAAGUCAGGCUAAGUUCUCUGAUCCUACACAGCGUGCAGAGACUAGCAAACCCCGGCAGGAAUAAAUGCAUUUUAAAAUUAACUAAUUCCAGCUCCCUUUUUCCUUUGCAUAUCUGUCAUGAUCAGAAGUUGGACCUAAGGCUAUCUAUUGCAGUAGAUGAUAUCUUCGCUAGAGUGGCUGAGGGAGCUACAUGGCUGUGGAAGAGAGCUCUGCACUUCUUUAGGUGAUAGUGAUGGGCAUGCCGCAGACCUUGGUGAGCAAUGAAAAUUUCAGUUUGCUUUCAAAAUGUGAUUAGAAGUGCAGUCAAGCACCAUUUAUCCAUCUAAACAAGCUCCAGCUCUCCUGACAGUUUGUCUGCUCCUACUUUUGUUAUUUAUUAGUAUAUAUUACUGGGGUUAUAGGAAUACCUAGCAGUUUGAACCAAGGAGGAGUUCUCAUUAUCAGAGGUGUUGUACAAGCACACAGCAAGAGACUGCUCCUGCCCAGAAAGCACCUGAUCUGAGCAGAAAAAACAGGCACGUGCUGGGAAAAGCAAAUUGACACAAGGAGGGAAAGAAGUUUGUUCUGCAGCAGAGCCAGGAACAGUGAUUGAACAGCAAGCACCCUUUUUACACUUAGGCCCAGGGUUUUCAAGCCUUUUCUGCCUUGUUGGGACAAUUUGCAUGUAAAAGAUCCCACCUGUGUUUUUACACAUGGGAACAACUGUGGUCUGCAACUUCAUUAGUGAGUUGGCUAAAUUCCUCUUCAUUCCUCACUGGGUUUUUUGGACCAGUUUCCAGCUGAAUUAUGUCAUUAAUUUGUGUUGUUGAACAGUCAGCUCCUCCCAAAUAUGUUUUGAAUCUUUUAGCUUACAGCAACCAAAUUUACUAGAGGGAUAAAUGCCUCAAUGUUAUUAAGCUUCUGGCCAGUUCUGUAGAAGUACUAAGUAAUUAGAGAGAGAGUAGAGACCUCAUUAACACCCCCACCAAAAGAAGGACAAUACCGUGACCUCAGCUCCUUUCAGAAAAUGGGCAAUUCCCAUGGAAGUUCAGCCUCAAAACACAAACCAAAUUCUGAUAUUUGGAUGAUUUGGCCCACAAAAGCAAAACAAAAGAAAAUAAAAGCCACAUCAUGUUCAUUGCAAAAAUUUGUCAUUUUACCUUCUCUCCCAGGGGUCCCACCCUUUCUCAAAGAAGAGCCUAUGAUAAAUGUUACUCCUGGCUGCACUGGGACAAUCAGAGCUGGUGUGCUCAUCGCCAUGCCUUGCUUCCUUACAGAGCAUCCCAAAACACAUCCUCCGCAGUGUGCAGAGGAUGCAUCCUGAAAGAAUGUUGUAAACACCACAUGCAAACCAUCUGCCUUCUCCACUACAGCCAGAAGUGCUGGAUACCGAUACCAAUGCUGCUGAACAACUCUCCAGUGCUCCCACUAUUUUUCAGAUGCUUCAUAUGCAACAUGAGGCAGAAAAGGAAGACAGCUACAAAUGGAAACUCCUGAGCAUUACAGAGUUUUCAAUAUUUCUUUUUGAAACUGACUCUGCAAAGCAUUUGGUGUAGGAAAGCAACAACUCAGCCAGAAAAAGUCAUCUUGUGGGUGAGGCACAGAAGGACUUUAUAUAUGGGAACCUCUGGGAAAGACACUGAAGGGUUCGUGUGACUCAGAAGAGCAACAGAGACAAACAACAAGAACAAAAUAUGCUGAUUUGUUUGAAGUUGCAGCCUUAAUGACAGAGAAAACUUCAGAAUAGAGGCACCUUCUUAUUGCUUCACUGUCCUGAAAAGCUCAUUACUUUCCCAUCCAUGCAACUGGGAACCUGAAAAACACCAUGCCACCAGGAAAAUUUUGUGCCUGUGUUUCAGGACAGUGGGACAUGUUCUGCACAGUUACCAGUACAAAAUUCAGUAUGUGGCACCACCUUCUCAGCCCAGCUGACCUUCCUCCACAAAGCACUGUCCUCAGCAAGCAAAUGACAAGUUUCAUUUCUGAGAAAUAAUGGAUUACAGGUAGAGAAAGGAUUAUGAAACAGGAGAACUGGAUGGAUUUAUUUGUGCAAAACCUGCUCAGCGGGGUAUUAUAUUUGCUUUUUUUUUUUUUUUCCCAGAGUUUAGUUUGACUCCAGCAUUUCAGCCAAUCAGAUGGGCAGUCUGGUAACUCCGAGGGAUUUGGAGUGAGCAGUUCCAGCACUGAGCUGUCUCCCAAAGGCAGCCAGCAGAAAGUGAAUCAGCUGCUAACCUAACAAAAAUGGCCAAGAAUAGAAAGUAGAUUUCCAGCCUUCCUGCUUUGCAGCAGUUUUGUUUUUCCUUGCAAUGGCAGCGGUGAUUACCUUAUCUGUGCAUACCAGCCAACCACACAAUCCAGAAAAAGCCACCAUCCAAGAAAUACCCAUUUAAUAAGUCUUGGCAUAUUGAAUGCAGACCCAGGAAGGCAGGAUGUAGCACAAGAAUAUCUUCCUUCAGACAGGCUCUGCAGGGACAAAUACAAACCUGCAGAUAUGAGGAAAGCAAAAUUUCAGGAAGGGAGCAUCCAGUAGGAAACCUACCCUCUCUGGAGGGCUUUGCAAAAGUCUGUGUUCCUCCAGUGGGUGAAAGUUUCUUUCCACUCACUGGCAUUGUAUAAACAUGGGAUUUGGUCUCCAAACCCCUAUCCCGAGUUUGGGGCAUAUUUUUGCAUAGCCAUGCUGUCUCAGUAGAUGGCUAUGUGAGCUUUAUACUCUCUCCCAUGUCCCAGCUCAUCAGGUGUCCCCAUGGCUCCCAGAGAGCUGGGUAACAUCUUCCCCCAUAGGACCUUCAACUAUUUCACAUAUUUGGUGACUGAAAGUUAGCAGUACCACAGGAUCUAGAAAAGCUUGGCCAAAUAGAGACAGCGAUUGCGUGAUUGUUAUGUAUAAACACAUCAGGAGGUAGGUUAAUCACCAGUGGAGGGGAAGAGCUAUUUAAUGAAAAGAAUAUGUUUGCAGAAGAGCAAAGGGUUAUGAGCUGUCUGUCCAUGAAUAAAUUUAGGCUGAAAAUUAGUUGAAGGAUUCUGCUCAUUAAGGAAGUGGGAAUCGAAACAACCCCAAAAAGGGAUGACAUUUAUAAAAAUCCCAAGACAGGACUUGAUCCAUUUCAGAGGGUAUCACUUUUAGGCGGGAGAGCCUGCAGCUGGGGAGUUCUGGACCCAGAAGCACACAAGGUCUCUGCUCUUCCAAGUUCCUAAGCUCUUGAAGCCAGUGUGAAGGAAAAAACUAAACACAUAGGCUUCAUUCUUAUCUCAGUGCUAACCAUAUGCCCUAAAACACAGAGAAAGGGACUUGCAUCUCAGCAAGGAAAGGGGAGAAACACAGAGAGGUGCUGUUGCAUUCUAAGGAUGGGCUGGACCUCUUCUUCACCCUGGCUGGAGCACAGUGCACAUUGUAGCGAUCAGAGACCACUAUAAAAACACCCUAGAACAAGCACAUUGAUUCCUGAUGACUGUUUCACAACUGACUACCUAUUUGUUGAACUAUAAUGCUUAUAUGUAACAAAAUGCUAUUAUAAUAUCAUUGAAGUAGUCAUUUUUCCUCUGCCUCAUUACUAUUAAUCUUAGAAGGACACUGCAUUUCUAUUACUUAUCAUUUGUAUUGCAGCGAUAUCUAGAUGUUCCCAUUAUAUCAGGCCUCCAUGUGCUGAGCUUUACACAAAUGCAUGCAUGACAAUUCUUUCCCCCUCCCCGCAGAAUGUCUAAAGCCUGUAGGAUUUUCCAUCUGCAAUGUUGUAGCAGUUAAAGGCCAAUCAUGCAAACAGCUCUGAAGCUGUAAAAAUGGAUAUAUAUAUAUAUAUAUUUCAUUGUGGCAUGGCCAAGCAGUCACUUCCACUCCGACAGUGAAGUGCUGAACAACCCAUGUUUCCCACCUUCAAAGCUGUUGGUUCCCAGCAAAGCCCUCAGCAGAGGUGAAGCAAAGACACUUUUUCCUACAGUGCCUUAGCAAUGUCACCCUGUCUCUCAGUGGAACACAACUCAGAGGCAGGACCUCCACACGUUUCCAAAACGUUCAUCUGACCUCACCAUUUGAAUGACGUGGGAAGAGGCUUGAACUUUCCUGAGCUAAGGCACCGUGUACCUGAGGGCUCAGUGCAUGCACAGGGCUCUGACCUCUGCAAUUACAGAUGUUUGCACUGAUUUGAGCUGAGAUAGGACAACUUUAAUUUUUAGUUAGAUCAAAAAAAAGGCAAAAUCAUCAACAAAUACUUAAGUGCGGAGAGAACAGGGUAAAGCUACCACUGGAAGUGAGAUUCUCUAUUGCCUUGUAUCUUGCAUAGUGUCCCAGUUGGAGACUGUCUUUCUCCCAUCAGGCGGUGUUAUGUACUGCUUUGCCCUGAAGAAACUGACUGCAUAAGGUUCAGUGAAGACCCGACCCCAAAAUGGUUUGGACCAGCAGAGUGUGCGUGAAGCCUUUAAAGCAACUGCAUAAUCCCACCUGCUAUCUGCCACCAGCAAGUUUCCUCUCACCUUACAGCAGAGGUGAGCUUUAAACCUGAACUGCAGCCUUACCGUACUUUUACCAGCAGUGAUUAUCCCAGCGCCCACUGUCAUCAGACAUCAGCUGCUUAAAGAGAGCAUCUUUGAGGAACAGUGUCUGAGACCGAAAACAAGCACGCAGAUUUUUCAGGCAAAAAAAAAUUAACGUAGCUCAUCAGAGAGACAGGUGGCAGCUUCCCUCCCUACAGGCACCACGGGGGCUGAGUUUGCUCAGCUCCCUCUCUCUGUACUUUGAUGUAUUCCAGCAGCUGUAAGAAAUUAAUUCAAAUUAAUUAAAACUCUUGCAGGGACAAAGAAUCCAGAUGAAAACUACAGCACUGGGGUCAAUCUGCCAUUUGAAACUUGGUGAUGUCAGAGACAGGGAAGCAGCACCCUUUCACUCUGAAGCCGCACUUGUUGGAUGUAUCAUAGAUAUUUGCUGAGAGGCCAGAAUAGGCCUUGUCAGCAAAGGAAAUAAAAUCAGGAUCCAAAGUUCCUUCUCUACAACCACAGCAGUGUCAUCCUUUUGAUUUACAGUGAUCAAAAAUUAGCCCAGCAUAUCCAAGCCCUGAGUGCCAUCCUUCCCUAAGCAGCUUGAGGAGGCUCCUUGCCAUCAAUUUACCCAGCCCAUCAUGAGUUGUUCCAUGACCAACUUCAACAGGAGGAAGAGCAGCUCAACUUUUUUGAAACAAAUGGACCUAAGACUAGUAUCCAUCAUAAUCAUUGCAAGUUUAAGUGAACUCGUGUCUCUAUUGCGCUUAUCCAGCUGGUUAUGUCAGUUGUUCACGUUGUUUUAGGACCCCUCCAAUGAAUAUGAUACUGUACAUAGGACUUGGGGGGAUUGAACAUUGAAGGAAGAGCAGCUGGGGUGGGUAUCCAUGUGCUGUUGUUCUGCACUGUCAGCACCAAUCUCUUCUCAGCUGUGCAGCAGGCAGCCGCUACAUUCAGCAGGGAUGCUGCAGGACAUUUUUCCUCCUAAACUUUGGAAGUAGAAGACUUUUUCAAGAAACCCGUGCCCACUAAUUUCAAACUUGCUUUCAUGAACAUAGUACUAAUGUGCCCAAAGAUAACAACCUUCAGAAUAAGAAAGAAUCUGUAUGGAUUUUUUAAUUAUUAUUUAAUAUCAAUCUGCAUUUUUAAAUGUCCUUUCAUUUUUCACCUGGAUGACCCUUUACAACUACAGAAUUGUUUAUCCUUUCUUGCAUAAAGUGCCUCAAAUGGAGAAUAUAUUCAGUUUUCACAAUAAUACUGCUGACUUAGUGAUACAGGACAAGGAAGGAGUCAGAAAACUUGGGUGCUGGUCUUCUUUUCCUCCUCAGCUCUGCUUCAGUUUGCCUAAUAACUGUGUGCAAAAAAGUUACGUAUGCACUGGUGGCACAUUCUAUUCAUGGUUACAAAGCGCCUUAAGUUUUGUUGACUGAAAGUAUUAGCAAAGGCAAUAAAGCUCUUACAACUAAAAGAGAACUUGUUCCUCUUUCCUGCUCUUUUACAGGAAAACUGAGGCCAAUAUUCAAAUAACUUCUCUCUAUGUCCUGUUCUGUAUGGAGGAGAUUUUAACUCUGUAUGGAGGAGAUUUUAACAUGGAGAGGCAUUUGAAUCCAUGAACCUGACAGGGUCUAUACUUACUUAUGGUACCCUGGCCCCCACUUUGCCUCACACUCUGAAAAACGAUAUAUCUCAAAAGCCUAGACCCCAAAUGAGCAAAGUAUCAUAAGGUCAUAAUAUUAAACACCAAAGUCUCAAUUUCAUGUAUAGAUAUGAAUGACAAAUUUUUAAUCAUCUGCUUCUGUAACUCACCUGCUGACGGAGAACUUUAUAUACUGGUAUAAAACAGAUGCAACAAUCUUUUUCUCACUCAUAUCAUCAGAGAUAUCCCUCUGAAAUGACCAUCUGAAUGACUGUCAGAAUAGUCUAACUGUCUGACAAAUUAGGCUCCUGGACUUUUAUCCAUUUGAAGCCCUUCAGACUGAUAACUCAGCCUGACUGCUGGCUGAAGUGGAUUCCUCUUGUACCAAAGGAAGCGAGCACCUGUGAUGCUGUAGUGUCAGAGUAGAUGCAGACACAGCAGAAGAAAUAUGAGCCAGAGAGACAGCGAAGAUGACACGUAAUGGGAAAUAAGCCUGCCCAAUGAUCCCCAUUAACAAAUGAGUGUGCGGAGACCAGUGGAUAAAGUGUGCCUGUGCAAACAGCCACAAAUUACACAACUAAUUGCAGUGCCAGACAGACAAGCUCUUUGCAGCACUUAGUCCUGUUCUGCAACUUGUCCCCUGCCCAAGAGGGAAGUGGUAUCCAACUCCACACGCCUAUGUCCCCAGAGCAAUGACACAGCAGACAACUGCCUUCUUUUCCUUUUGAAUCUUACCUAUUAUCUCAUGAUUCCUCUCCAAAAAGGACAGGAAAAGUUGUACCCUUCUGCCUUUUUGUGUUCUCCUUUCCUGUUCCUUUUCUUUCUCUAAGGAGCCAGUAGAGCUGCACAAGCCCCACAGCAGGAGAUCUGCGUACAGUGCAAUAUUUGUUUAAAGACAUUAUUACUAGUGGGCAAAUCUAUAAUUUGGAGCCCUCCUCAGGUCCUCUCUCUGAGAACGUGAAUGCUGCCCAGAAGUUAUUUGACAGCACAUAUCCUCUAGCAGCAAACAAUCCUGAGAUUUAUUAAGGAUGAAAUCCAGCUAUUUCAUAUAAUUGACAUGGAGUGGGAUCACCUGGUGUGCCAAUCUGAGCUGCAUUUGACCCUAAAUGUUAGAGGAUUUGCUGUCUCAUCAAAUCUGUGACUCAGCCAGGCUCUGUCACCAACACCUAUUUGUGAAGGGACUUUAAAAAAGAACCAAUCAACCCAGAUUGCCUAUGUUCUCUUCUUCAUCAGUCCAAACACCAUUUGUGUGAGGAAAUUGCCCAGCAGAGUUCAUAAAGCUUUUCUAAUCUCUUGUAAUUUGCAACUGCUUUCACAAAUAAUCCAUCUUCUCAGGAACCUACUAGAACCAAGUUCAGUAACUGAGGCUACAGGAAUGAGACGUGGGGAGAAAUUCAAAGAUGGGAUCCACAGCACUAAUCCCAACAGCUCAGAUAUUACCUCCUCAUAAGUUUACACAUGAGAGGGAUACCCCUGGUAUUGGGCAGCCCAGGGACUGCUCACACCACGGUCCAUCAACCAGACAUUUAUCCUAAAAAGCCCCAUUGGGAGUUGCUCUGCAAUAUCUCAGGCUGCACACAUAUAGCACCCCUCUAUUUUAAAAGAAGACAGACAUCGGAGGAGAUGGUGUCCCCUGUGUGGUCAGAGGACUCACCAGAAAAACAGGAUGCUACAUAACAGCCAUGUAACUCAUAAAACCCACUCAUGGCUGUGUUUGCAGAUACAACCCAACAUGACACCUCACACAUUUUAUGAAGUGUGACUUUUGAAUAAAGGUAAUGUGAAUCGUCUGGCAGUGAUGCUGAUGUAACUCACUCUCUGACAAACUCAACCCUUUGCUACUAAUAACUCUAGUUAAGUUUGGGGAGAGGAUGCAGAUAAAGAAAUUGAAAUGUUUGAUAGGUUAAUCACAAAUAAAAACGGUGAUAGGCAGAGACUGAGCAAGAAAAAUCAAACCUGUAAUUGACUUUAUUAUGCUUAUUUAUUUUUGGGGUGUAGGGGUAUGAGUAUCCUGUAUCUGUUCUCAAUUUGCAGAAUUAAGUCAAACAAAGAAUUCCCACUUAGAUAUUCGGAAUGAGGAAGAAGGAGGGGGAGAAAGACAGGAGAAGGGUGGAGAAAAGAAUCAUAGUUUUCAGAAACUGUGACUUGUUACCCAUAGGCACUACAAGAUCUUGCCCUCGAGCAACUUGUACUCAGUGGUGCAAUCUUCAGAUAUGCAACAGUAGUUACAAGGGUUCUGCAAAUCUAGGAUAAUCCUCCUGCCUCUUCCUUGUGUUUUGCUACACAAAUUUACCAAAUCUCAUGCACUGAGUCCAAGGUGAGAUUUAGGGCUAUCCAAGCCCUAACGGUGAUGUGUGGAUGGAUGGGUGGAUGGAUGGAUGGAUGGAUGGAUGGAUGGAUGGAUGGAUGGAUGGAUGGGUGAAUGGGGACAGAAAGACAGAAAAAUUACAGAUAGGUGGAGUCCAGUGAUGUAUGAAAUGCAACUGAAGUACAAACAGGAAAAUUAAAGCCAUUAAAUAUUUGACACAAGAUUCCAGGAUCAUCACUGAGAUGCAAGAAAAGAAUUACAGAAAUUAUUACAUUUAGUAUUAAAUGAAAUUGAACAAUGAACAUUAUAAUUAUUUAACAAAAAAGUGUUGUGAAGGCCUUAAAAUAGAAUGAAAAAUCAAGAUUCCUGGAUUUGUACCAGUUCAUCAUUGACCUCGUGAAAGCUGCACAAUGUGAUUCACUUUACUGGCCUCUAAAAUUAUUUUUUACUGAAGCCCUAUUCUUUUACCUGUAUUAGUUUGGUCUACGUACUAGAAAUAUUACAAUAUUCAUCUUCUUGAAGCAAUCACAGACAAUUCAGUGCAAAUUCUGGCUUAAUAAAAUCCUCAGGACUUAGCCAUUUUGACAGCCUGACUAUGACAUUAUAAGUCAAGACAUAAAAGCUAAAAUUAUAUGGAUAUAACCAAUAUAAAUGAUGUAAUAGCUGAUGCAGGGAAAAUAAAGGCGUAAGAACAAACAGAAAAAUCUCUGGGCUGUUCUCCAAGAGAAUUCUCUGUGGAUGACGCUACUAUAGGAAAAUAGAAUUAAAUGUGACAAAUACGUACUAUAAAACACCAGGAAAUUGGAAGAAGAGAAAUGUCAAAAAAAAUAAUCGUGAGGUGGAAACACAGAGAAGUAUCUGAUGAAACCACCUAUGCUUGGCUGCAAGUGUGUCCCUUUGGUCUGCCCGUAACUAUUGCAACACCGAUGUUAAUGUUUGCUCCCUGGACCGAGUUGCAGAGGACAGGCAUGUGUGGAAUUCCCCGGCCGUCCUCGGGCCAUCAGCCUGCGCCUCGUUUUCUUCUUAUUUUUUCAUAGACAAAGUGCAGAUUAGUAACUUUGCAUGCUUGAAAUUGCCAAAUUUAAUCCAUAGAGCCCUAAAUCCAUACAUAUUACACAGCAUUACAAAACCUUUCUUCUUAAAAUGAGUAUGGUGAUAUUUUCAUUCCAGAUGACUUACAGGAAGUAAUUAAAGGGAUAAUUAGCAAAGAAGUGUACAAAAAUCCUUAAGCCUCUCAUGAUCAGUCUGCUUUUUUAACAAGUGGAAAUGACACUUCCACCACCCCAUUUAAGGCAGAUUGUACUGGGCAUAUACUGCAUUUUCUCCCUAGACUCAAAGCCAAAACAUCAGCUGAUCAGAUCUGCUGUGUCUUCACCUUGCUUGACGAACAGGGGUCCUUAGAGUGAUUCACAGCUCUGUCAAGGACUCCCCAAGUUACAUUUUCAGCGAAACUGUGCAUUUUCUCUUUGCCCCAGUGCAGUAUGAUCAGUUUUGUGUGUGCAGGAGAAACUAUUACAGGCAGGAACAGUCUCCCUAAAAGUAUGUCUUAUGCAUAGCAAACAGGUGUUUCAACACAGUUUUGGCCUCUGGGCACUCCUGCAAUGCAAACAAUAAUAACUGGAUGAUCAGCUGAUGGGAUAAUAACAGCACCUGCUGUUUGCCUUAAAAUAGAUAAUUGUGGCCUUGUCCUGUAUUGGUGAGAAAGGAAUGGAUAAUCACACCAUCCUUAUCCAGAAGCAAUACUACUGUGUGUACCCAUGUCAUAUAUUGCUCAGCAGCUUCCCUGCCUCCUGAGGAGCUAGAAAACAAUAGUCUUACUCCAGUCCUGCUGAAGUUCUGAAAAACCAACUAUUCAUUUGAGUAGUGUUUUCAUGGUGGGUGAACUGUGGAAGCAACCCCAUCAGCUCUCUCCACCACCUUCCACCUUCUCAGCUGCUGACAAUCACGUCGUCACCAAGGAGUGACAGGUCAGGAACCAUGCUGGGUGCAGGCUUGCAGUGCACAGCCCUGACCACAGCAAGGAGUCUUUCAGGAUUCACUCCUCUCUUUGAAGGCAAAGCAGCUGUCCGCUCUAGCUUUGCUUUCAUCUGUGUCCUCUUCUCCAGAUCGCCUUGCAGGUCAGCUUCAUGCUGCUGCUCCAGCCCUCAUCGUGCCCUCUCACUCCGCACCAGCUUCAGCCCUCCUCAGCUUCUUCUUCCUGGCAGUUAUGUCUUGUUUUAUUGCCUUCACCUUAGGGAACCCCCACUUUGGCUGCUGGUGCUGUAGUGAAUUCCUGGUGUGGAAAUAACAACCGAACAGCCUCCUUGAUGGAGCUGAAGCAUGACUGGUGGGGAUCAAUGAAGGAAGCACAAGGCUAAAGUGGAAUAUCCACUUGUGCUUUACUUGCAGCCCUUACAGCUUUGAGCCAGAGCCAUGUUGAGUCAGACAAUAAUUUUAAAACCUGAAACUGUGGUUUGGCAUGUGCAGGUUGAAUUAUCCUGACCUCCAGAGCAGGUCCAGCAUGCAAAAUAACACACCCAUUAUUAUCAGAGGAGGAGAAAAGGGCUCAGCCCCCCUAGAAUGGCAUGUUCCAGCUAUGGGCCAAAAGGCUGUUCAGGACAGUGAUGGGACUGAUUUUAUGUGAAAGGAGGCAUAACAAUAAAGUCCUAAAAUGUAAAAACUGCAAAUGAUGCAGUGACUCAGUCAAUAUGUCCAGUUCCUUGCCUUUAUCCACUCCACCACAAAACAUGACCAAGCUCUGGCCAGCCCUCAGCAGAGGACCAACCCAACUGGUGUCAGAGUUCUUCCAGCGUUGACAGCCCAACAUGUGCUAGACUCUUUUGCUGGGCCAGAGCCAGGUCAGUCAUCACCUUAUGGUGUUGAGCUCUCUCACAUCCAACAAGACAUCGAUUCUCGGCUCAGGAACUGGAUUUUUUGGGCUUCCAUCCUUUUUCAGAGAAAGCUCUUCACUUCUUAUAAGGCUGUGGCUGUGUCAGGAUAUGCUUUAUCUGUAAGUUUGCUAUUAGCAAUGUUCUGUUCUGCUAAGAUGGCAUCAAUAAAGAAACAAAACUGCACAGAAGCAUAUAGAAUACAAAUAUAGAAUACAAAUUUAAAUAAUGUUAGCAAUGAACAAAGCAUUGGUAAGUAAUGCUAACGAAAGCAAACAAACAAACAAACAAACAAACAAACCUUAGAGGGGUUUUAUAGUCUUUUUUUACUAUUGUAGGAUAAUAAUUGUUGUUCUGAUGUACUAAUUUUACCCUGAUUUUUGUUUUCUUUGAUUGCAUGAGCUUUUUUUAAUUCCUGGCAAUUUGAGAUUCAAAAACUAGUUUAGGUAAAUGGAACAAAUUAUUUCAAUUGCCAGUCUUGUUCUUUGUAAACAUUUGCCCAUGGCACAAAUCUAGCACACAUUUUGAUAAAGCUGUCAUGGAGGUCUGUACGGGCAAAAAGAAAGUGUGAGGAGCAUUUGAUAAAGAGAAGCCAUUUCAAUACUGACUAAUGCUAUGCUUAGCCACUUCAGAACCAAAACCUUGAAUUUAUACUAAAUUCAUACACAUCUAUCAAUCAAGCAUCUGGACAGCAAGCAGCCGUUCUGUUUGUAGGGCCCAGAAGCAGUUAAGCAGCAGAAGCAUCUUUGCUGGGAGCAGAUAAUGUCCCCAGCCUGCAGAACAGAAUGAGGUCUCUGGGGCAUGGGGGAUCUUUACCAGGGAGGAGGAAAAAACAGGACAGUGUGCUGCUGGCCAUACCAGAGAAGGGACAUUGCUCAUGGAAAUUGCUAUGCCCUGCAGGCUUAUACUCUAGUGCUCAUUCAGACAAUUUCAAUGGCCAUGCUGCAAAAAUUCCCCACAGCAGAAAAGGUGUGACUGAUGGAAUUUUAUACAGCAUUGGGGGAAAGUGAAAAGUUCAAACCACAACAAAAGGCAUUUAUUUCUUAACUCAGGCAAAACACCCGUUCACUUCCUCUUGACCAUAUCUGGCAAAGUCCACAUUGUCCUCACUGAGGGUUUUAGCUGAAUAAAGUCUCACCCUGCAAGAUUUAGUUCCCAAAACAGUGAGGAGUUAAUGACAGGCAGUUUUCAAUGAUUAUCUCAUAUAAUUGAUUGCUGUCUUCCAUCCCCAUUAUUAAAGAGCUAUACAUGUUAUGGCUAAUGAGUGCCUUAGCAUGAGCUUAAUUGCAUCUCCAGUUAUCAAUGAAGUAUCUAUUGAAAUACCUGGGGAGCAGUGAAGAAUUUGUCUUUGUUUCGGAAGUGAAAACUCUGAGAUGUGAAACAGUUCGGAAAAUUCACAGCCACUGUCAAUAUUUCUAUUCAGCCAGUCAGCAUUCCAGUUUUUUCCCAGUCUUUCAGGACUGAAUAUAUUUCAGCAACUAUCACACUUUGCAUAUUGAGGGCAAGAAGAACUGAUGUUGCAUUAUUAGUGCCACUUCAUUCCUACUACUGUCUUCCUACUCUUCAGUCUGAAAAGAAAAACAGUUCAAACUCAGAGCAAACCUUUGAAAAAUCAGUAUCAGCCAUGUAUAGGUCUUUGGGAGAAAAAUUAAUUUCUUUCCUGUGUUUCACAGAACACAUGAGCUUCCUUAGCUGUCAUAGUAUGUCUUCAGAAUAUCAUCUAAAAACAGCAAUGUCAAACUCAUUUUCACUGGGGGGGCACGUCAGC